RNAcentral lists this ribosomal RNA (494 nucleotides) under uncultured bacterium. RNAcentral describes it as "partial 16S ribosomal RNA". It matches the Rfam family "Bacterial small subunit ribosomal RNA", at positions 28 to 507 of the family's 1533-position model. The record is from RNAcentral.
GACGAACGCUGGCGGCGUGCUUAACACAUGCAAGUCGAACGGUGAAGCGCCUUCCUUUUUGGUGGGUGUGGAUGAGUGGCGAACGGGUGAGUAACACGUGAGUAACCUGCCCCCUUCUUCUGGAUAACCGCAUGAAAGUGUGGCUAAUACGGGAUAUUCUGGGUCUGUCGCAUGAUGGGUCUGGGAAAGAUAUUGUUUCGGUGGGGGAUGGGCUCGCGGCCUAUCAGCUUGUUGGUGGGGUGAUGGCCUACCAAGGCGGGGACGGGUAGCCGGCCUGAGAGGGUGGACGGUCACACUGGGACUGAGACACGGCCCAGACUCCUACGGGAGGCAGCAGUGGGGAAUAUUGCACAAUGGGCGCAAGCCUGAUGCAGCGACGCCGCGUGAGGGAUGGAGGCCUUCGGGUUGUGAACCUCUUUCGCCAGUGAAGCAGGCCUGCCCCGUUUGUGGGUGGGUUGACGGUAGCUGGAUAAGAAGCGCCGGCUAACUACGUG